AAUGGUAAACUCAAUGGGUGAAUAAGUAGUAAUGUGAUGAAUUAU
RNAcentral lists this non-coding RNA (45 nucleotides) under Trypanosoma brucei brucei. The record is from RNAcentral. Lineage: Eukaryota; Euglenozoa; Kinetoplastea; Trypanosomatida; Trypanosomatidae.